RNAcentral lists this ribosomal RNA (516 nucleotides) under uncultured Glomus. RNAcentral's name for it is "SSU rRNA". It matches the Rfam family "Eukaryotic small subunit ribosomal RNA", at positions 579 to 1099 of the family's 1831-position model. The record is from RNAcentral. Lineage: Eukaryota; Fungi; Glomeromycota; Glomeromycetes; Glomerales; Glomeraceae.
GUAUUCCGCUCCAUAGCGUAUAUUAAAGUUGUUGCAGUUAAAAAGCUCGUAGUUGAAUUUCGGGAUCAGUUCGUCGGUCGUGCCUUUGGUAUGUACUGGUGUUACUGGUUCCUCCCUUCUGACGAACCGUCAUGUCAUUAAUUUGGUGUGGCGGGAAAUCAGGACUGUUACUUUGAAAAAAUUAGAGUGUUUAAAGCAGGCUCGCGCUUGAAUACAUUAGCAUGGAAUAAUGAAAUAGGACGUUCGAUCCUAUUUUGUUGGUUUCUAGGAUUGACGUAAUGAUUAAUAGGGAUAGUUGGGGGCAUUAGUAUUCAAUUGCCAGAGGUGAAAUUCUUGGAUUUAUUGAAGACUAACUACUGCGAAAGCAUUUGCCAAGGAUGUUUUCAUUAAUCAAGAACGAAAGUUAGGGGAUCGAAGACGAUCAGAUACCGUCGUAGUCUUAACCAUAAACUAUGCCGACUAGGGAUCGGAUGAUGUUAAUUUUUUAAUGACUCAUUCGGCGCCUUACGGGAAACA